RNAcentral lists this ribosomal RNA (687 nucleotides) under uncultured bacterium. Its description in RNAcentral is "bacterial SSU rRNA". It matches the Rfam family "Bacterial small subunit ribosomal RNA", at positions 232 to 919 of the family's 1533-position model. The record is from RNAcentral.
UGCGUUCCAUUAGGCAGUUGGCGGGGUAACGGCCCACCAAACCGACGAUGGAUAGGGGUUCUGAGAGGAAGGUCCCCCACAUUGGUACUGAGACACGGACCAAACUCCUACGGGAGGCAGCAGUGAGGAAUAUUGGUCAAUGGGCGUAAGCCUGAACCAGCCAAGUCGCGUGAGGGAUGAAGGUUCUAUGGAUCGUAAACCUCUUUUAUAAGGGAAUAAAGUGCGGGACGUGUCCUGUUUUGUAUGUACCUUAUGAAUAAGGAUCGGCUAACUCCGUGCCAGCAGCCGCGGUAAUACGGAGGAUCCGAGCGUUAUCCGGAUUUAUUGGGUUUAAAGGGUGCGUAGGCGGCCUUUUAAGUCAGCGGUGAAAGUCUGUGGCUCAACCAUAGAAUUGCCGUUGAAACUGGGGGGCUUGAGUAUGUUUGAGGCAGGCGGAAUGCGUGGUGUAGCGGUGAAAUGCUUAGAUAUCACGCAGAACCCCGAUUGCGAAGGCAGCCUGCCAAGCCAUGACUGACGCUGAUGCACGAAAGCGUGGGGAUCAAACAGGAUUAGAUACCCUGGUAGUCCACGCAGUAAACGAUGAUCACUAGCUGUUUGCGAUACAGUGUAAGCGGCACAGCGAAAGCGUUAAGUGAUCCACCUGGGGAGUACGCCGGCAACGGUGAAACUCAAAGGAAUUGACGGGGG